UACAGAGGUCUCAAGCGUUGUUCGGAUUCAUUGGGCGUAAAGGGCGCGUAGGCGGGAUGGCAAGUCGGUCGUGAAAUCCCUCGGCUCAACCGAGGAACGUCGAUCGAUACUGCUGUUCUUGAGGAUUGCAGAGGAGACUGGAAUUCCCGGUGUAGCGGUGAAAUGUGUAGAGAUCGGGAGGAACACCGGUGGCGAAGGCGGGUCUCUGGGCAAUUCCUGACGCUGAGGCGCGAAAGCGUGGGGAGCAAACGGG
This 253-nucleotide ribosomal RNA is filed under the name uncultured bacterium. Its description in RNAcentral is "partial 16S ribosomal RNA". It matches the Rfam family "Bacterial small subunit ribosomal RNA", at positions 524 to 776 of the family's 1533-position model. The record is from RNAcentral.